Molecule: long non-coding RNA, 2947 nt
Organism: Gallus gallus (chicken)
Lineage: Eukaryota; Metazoa; Chordata; Aves; Galliformes; Phasianidae
Source: Ensembl
AUCUUAUCUAGAGAUCCCUACUUACCUGAGGACCUUGAAGUCUUUCUGAAGGCUGGGCAAAAAGCGGCAUGUGUUGCAGAUGGUGCUGAGCUGCAUAUUUGCUGAGUGGCAUUCGGCAGACCAAACAGAGCAGCUGAGCAUUGAGUGGAUACGGCAGCCUUGUGUCCUAAUUUACAUUUCUGAUCUGCAGAACACGGGAAAUUUCUAGUCUUCUGCCCGUUUGGCUGAUAUGGACUGAUAGGAUUUUCUUUUGUUAUUAUUUUAAGGACUGACAAAUAGGCAGAGAGAUGUCAAAAUCACACAUACCUUGUUUUCUUAUGUUAUGAGAGUGAAAACCAUCUUGAUUGUCUUCCUUUUCAGCUAAGCUCAACCUGAACAUAAAUCCUUACAGACCCUUAAUAAACUCUUGCUUUGAAAAAUAAAAUAGCUGCCAAGACUUAGAUAUAUAGGCUGUAGUCUUAGUUUCACAGAAAAUACUUUGGCAUUUUGGCAUUAAGGCACUGAAGUCUAACUGAUCAUGAGAUGGGUGGGAUGGGGAGCAAAUUUCCAAAAGUAAGAGUUGUCCAGAGGAGCCAUAACUGAUUUAAACCCCAGAGGCACUCCUGCUUUGAGAUGAACUAAAUAGGAAAAUGCUUUUUCCUCUCCUUCUUAUAAGGCAUAUUUGAAACAGCACUGCAAUUAACUUCCUGUAAGUUGUGUUUCUCUUCUGUUGGGUCUGGUGCCCUUUUGCUCUCGUCAGUUCUUCUGAGCAGCCUUAUGUUGGGCUCAUUUAAAUAUUGAUAAUUAAGCUGUUUCUGUAUCCAUCUUCCCCCAAAUGAAAGAAAUACUGCUUCCAACUCAUCUGGCUCAGUUAAGAGAUUCUGGAUGAUGUAUAACGUCUUCUUUAAGAGAUAAAACACUAAAGUAAUAGUUAUAAAUAGAUGUGUAAAAUCAUACUGGUGAAUCUCAGAAGCACCACGCUCAAGGAGAGCAAUGCAAUUGACAAGCAAUUUAAGCUACAGUGUGAAAGGAUGCAGAAAUAACAAGAUUUGCAUGAAAAAUAUUGAGAUCAUGAGAACAUCAAAUUUAAACGGAAAACUCAUGUGCCUCAUGAUUAAAUCAUGAGAGCUGACAUUACUGUUAUAACAUUCAAUAUCCUUGGCUUUUGAAAAUAGUUUUAUAAUGAGGGUGGAGUGUAUCCAUCUGUAUAGAACACGAGCAUUGUUUGUAUCUAGCUAGCUCAUUAUGAUGAGAAUCAGGAAUACAGGACUCUCAAAUCUUAAUACAGGUCAGAAGAACUCAGAUACCUCCAGCUAUGGCUGAGCCCCUCUUGUCAGGAAGAUUACCCAAAGCAAAGACAGAGACUGACCCCGCUUUUGAAUCAUACAGUCAACCAGUCAAUCAAUCAGUGAUUAAACAGUACCAAGAAGUUGGGGGGGGGGAGCAGAAAGAAUUUCAAUCAGGUAGCUGAUUGUCUAUUUAUUCCAUCUUAUCACUGACAGUCAUUUAUCUUAGGACAGAAUACAGCUACUCACAUCAGUCAUAGAGGCAGUAAGUCUAAAGAAGGGUCAUUGCAAAGAGAGUAUUUCACAUCCAUCAGGCUCUACACUUGCAUGACCUACAACUACCAUGGCAGACUUCUUUCUCUUUCUUUUGGUGUUGUGCUUACUGAUAUACUGUGUGGUCAGGAAAACCUGAUAUAUUUGUUACUUAUGUGGAAAUAUGGACUUUUAAAAUCAGUUUAUACUUUUGUGAUGUACUGUCAUGGAGUAAAUAUGGAUUUUAUUUCCAUGAGCUUCAUGUUUAAUUCUAAGAAUGAGAAGCUAGUUGUAAAUGGACGUGCUUCAAGUCUAUUCAUAUUUUCUGAAUUCUUCCCAGCAGUUGAAGAAUUCAGAAAAUGAAAAAAAGAAAAGAAAUAAGUUAUCUUUGGAAGUGAUUUACAAUUUUUUCUCUCUGUUUUAGUGCUAUUCACUGAACUGUCUUUAAUACUUAGCUUUGAAUAUUUUAACUAAAUCUGUAAGAUGUGUGUUUUCUGUUUGUUUUUAAAAUACCUAUCAUCUUCAUGAUAAGAAGCAGCAGCAUUUAUAUAGAGCAUUAUUUAGAAAAAAAAACCAAAAACACACAAACAGAAUAAAGGGGAAGAUAAAAAUAACUAGAAUCUACUGUCUGGAAGUUGCUAGGAUUGGAUGCUUUAUAGCUGUCUCCUGAAUAAGAAAUAUACCUCUGGGAAAUAUUCAGACUGUUCCCCUAAAUAAGAAACUAAUUUUUUUUUUUAAUCCCCAUACAGCUUAUGAUUUCAUGGUCAUGUCAGACGAACUUAUUUCUGAUUAAAAGCAGCUGAGUCAAAUAGGACACUCCUUGCUGUGCCAUAAUCCCCAGCAGCUAUGUCACUUUUGCCAUAUCACAUUUCUUCAUAAAAUAUCUCAUAGCUGACACUGUUACAGGAAUGCUUUUGCCUUGAAAAACUGGAAAAAAAUAUAAUUAAGUAUUCCAAAGGCUGCAGAAUUUGUAACGAUUUAUUGCAGAUAUUGUGAUGUCUUCACACUGUAAAGCAAAAAUUUCAUUCUUUUUGUGAGUAUAGCAAAAAAAAAAAAACAACCAAACAAACAGGAAUCUCUUCUUGAAAACAUCUUAUUUUUUAUAGUAUACUGUUUUUAUGUUUUUGAAUUUAUAUCUUGAAACUAAACAUCUCUUUUGCUUUUGAUGUCAGUGGGCCUCUUGUGUGUUUAAUACAGGCUUAAAUUAUUGUGACAACCAUGUAUCCAUUAUUAAAAGAAUUAUACUAAUGAAACUGCAGCGCAAUAAUAUUGAAAUAAAACCUGUAGAAGGAAAACUUGAUAUUGAAGGGCAGUUUACACUGUUUACUGUGACUUCACAAUUAGCAGUAGGAAUAAUAUAAUUUUACAUAGAAGAGGAAUCUCUUAUGCAAACACUGCAUCUUGUUGGUCCUGUCCAUGUUACAAAAUAU